RNAcentral lists this long non-coding RNA (468 nucleotides) under Homo sapiens (human). RNAcentral's name for it is "non-protein coding LINC01020:9". Lineage: Eukaryota; Metazoa; Chordata; Mammalia; Primates; Hominidae. The record is from RNAcentral.
CUUUUUAAGACCUGCAGUGACCUGCUGCUACCAGAACUGACUCGCUUCAAAGUGACGGAUGAAACCCAUAUGGAGAUAUUCCUGGGGUGGGUAGGCCAGUUGGAAGACAGAGUGUUUACACCUGAGAGAGGACUUGAGGAAAAGCAGUUGAAAUACCAUUAGUUAACAGAUUGCCCAAUGAAGUCGAUGACAACUGUGAUAACAAGUUACUCACUAUCACAGCGUCUCCAAGAGAUGAACAGUGGAUGAUGCUUCCAAAGCACAGAUGUCCCUCUCCUCCUCAACCUUCUCUCCCCAGAAAGAUGUCAACACUGUGGAGAUUGUGCUAUGAAGAUACCUGGUGUGGCAUUGCAAUAGAUGAAAUAUUAAGGGCAAUUCAACAAUUUUCUGAACAAAUACAUGGAUUUAACUUGAAGUUGAAUUUAAUUUGACUUCAAGAAAAAUUAUAUUUCUGGUCCUCCUAUGAUC